This 543-nucleotide transfer RNA is filed under the name uncultured cyanobacterium. Its description in RNAcentral is "partial 16S-23S ribosomal RNA intergenic spacer". The stretch from base 213 to 285 matches the Rfam family "tRNA". The record is from RNAcentral. Lineage: Bacteria; Bacillati; Cyanobacteriota.
CAGGGAGACAACAAAAUGUUUAAUAUUAUUAUUUUGUCACCUUAGGUCGAUCGGUAUCUCACGUUCUUAAAUUGUUUAAGAAUUUCAUUUCCUAAGUUUUUCUAGGUCACACCCAUUAUUUUUCCUGGGCCAUUAGCUCAGGUGGUUAGAGCGCACCCCUGAUAAGGGUGAGGUCCCUGGUUCAAGUCCAGGAUGGCCCAUAUCUCUAUGUUGGGGGUAUAGCUCAGUUGGUAGAGCGCCUGCUUUGCAAGCAGGAUGUCAGCGGUUCGAGUCCGCUUACCUCCACUGAUUACCACCUCUUCCAUAACCGGUAGUAAGGAAAUGUUUUGAGUUGUGAUCAUUAUUCUGAGCGAAUCUAGCUUCCUAAUGAAAUCAUUAAGAUGCUGGACUCAUUGAAUUAAAUUCAUUGUUUUCAGAGAACCUUGACAACUGCAUAGAUUAUUUUUAAAGACAAUAAGCAUCUUUAAUGAUGCAGAUUUAUUAUUUGUGCGAAUGCAUUAAUAACAAUUCUAUUAAGCUGAUGCUUCAAUUUUUGAAGUUAUU